CCCCCAUUCGCAUGUUGGAAAUUGAAAUUUAAGAAGAUUAUGAAAGCGUAGAGAGAACAUUACCGGAUAAUUGAUACAUCUACAUGUAAGUCACCUAAAAUCAUACAUCUACCAGCUAGUUCAUCUAAAUUGAUUAUUAAGCAUUUUCGUCAGUAAUUUUGUUCCAUUUUAGCACCAGAGAGUGCAAGAAAUGGCAUUUUCAAGGCUUAAUUUUUCACAUUUUCCGUCGAUUCCCCCCUAGAUUUCAGUCCCUCUCACUUUAAAUAUGCUCUUAUAUUCCACUGCCUCUGUGGUUGCUGUGUAGCCUUUCAAUAAAAGUACCGUCUGCUGAUUCUGCUCCAGUUUCUUGUAUAAUUUGGUUAAGGGUGGCAUCUCUCAUUACCAAAUUUUGUUGCAUUUGUUUGUCUACUUUUUCCUUGGUUGAUUUUUCCAUGUUACAAAUCACUUCUCCCGUAAGCAGAUCUUGAUUGUAGUCAUCUUCAAAGCCUGGUAGUUCUUGCAUAAUUCAUUUCAGCUAGCUGCUUUGGGGCAUUGAGUGAUUGAGUAGAGUUUUCUCCAGAAUGGAUUCAGGACAAAAAAUUUGUUAUCUGAUCUGACUAGCACAUAGAUCCUCUUGAAAACGUUCUAUAACACUAUGAGCAGUGCAUAUUAAUCAGUUCUUGAUGCAUAAAGUACGCUACAGGAUUUUACCCUGAGUGUCCACUGUCCAGGUAUUGGGUCUUACAUGUGGACUUACAGAUCUCACAGUAUUUCGGGAAAAUAUAUUAUUUUUCUUGAUCAAACUCGGCAAGUUUCAAUGCAAGGAACGCAUUUAUGAUUGCACGUUCCGUAGUUCUAAUUCC
Non-coding RNA from Paramuricea clavata, 842 nucleotides. Lineage: Eukaryota; Metazoa; Cnidaria; Anthozoa; Malacalcyonacea; Plexauridae. The record is from the annotation of a GenBank genome assembly.